AAAGGGUUCGUAGUUGAAUUGUGGAGUAUGGCCACGGGAUUCAGUCCUUUUCCCACGGUCUAGGAACGUCCCGACCAUACUCCGAGAACGUCAGAAACUAAGAUCACGGAAGCGUUUUUUACAAACUGCCACCGACUACGCGAGCAAUGUUCGCUGGUGGACGUCCGUGUUUUUUACUGUGACUAAAGAAGUGCGACCAAGGCAGUCCAUCGACAUGAAUUAGAAAGCACGGGAUAACAAAGCAGCAGCCUAUGAGCUACCGUUUAGGCUUUUGUUGGUUUUAAAGGUUCGUGGGAGAUUACGGGCGUGUAGGACCGGCGUUGGGGGUUUUCCAAAAUCCCCGCGUCUCCUCCUGGCAUCGGAAACGGUGCUUGCGGGGCCUGCUUCGCUCAGGAAUGAAGGAGGGUUGCUCGGGGGAAAACGUACUUGGGCGUGAGAGGUGAAAUUCUUAGACCGCCCAAAGACGAACUACAGCGAAGGCAUUU
RNAcentral lists this ribosomal RNA (485 nucleotides) under uncultured marine eukaryote. Its description in RNAcentral is "SSU rRNA". It matches the Rfam family "Eukaryotic small subunit ribosomal RNA", at positions 621 to 956 of the family's 1831-position model. The record is from RNAcentral.